GACGAACCGAGCGAACGUUGUUCGGAAUCACUGGGCUUAAAGGGCGCGUAGGCGGGUGCUCAAGUCCGUGGUGAAAUCCCACGGCUCAACCGUGGAAGUGCACUCGAAACUGCGCAGCUAGAGUCCUGGAGAGGAAGGUGGAAUGCUUGGUGUAGAGGUGAAAUUCGUAGAUAUCAAGCGGAACACCGGUGGCGAAGGCGGCCUUCUGGACAGUGACUGACGCUGAGACGCGAAAGCGUGGGGAGCAAACAGG
Molecule: ribosomal RNA, 253 nt
Filed under: uncultured bacterium
Lineage: Bacteria
Description: partial 16S ribosomal RNA
Rfam family: Bacterial small subunit ribosomal RNA
Source: RNAcentral